Molecule: long non-coding RNA, 1475 nt
Organism: Drosophila obscura
Lineage: Eukaryota; Metazoa; Arthropoda; Insecta; Diptera; Drosophilidae
Exons: 3
Source: RefSeq, a predicted model, not a curated record
UUUAGAUUUGAUUUGUAUCAUACAAAAGUAUCGAAAUUUCAAAUGUAUGAUAUUUAGCCUCUCCCUCGCUCAUCACGCAAAACUGAGCACUGGUGCUCUCUUUUGCUCUCAUACGAAAUGGUCAUCACACUCAAGCAGCGACGCCAGCAGCGUUUUCUCUUGCUACCCUUUACACAUUUUGGGACAUUAUAAAAUUGAUGAGACGUUUGCAACCAAAGGUAUGAAAGCCAGAGUCUAGCAACAACAUACAGCAACAGUUUGUUCCUUUUCCAACUAAAUAACUCAGAAAUCAGAGCCACACUCAAAAUAUCAAUUCAAUUACACAGCCGACGAUCGCGACAAAACGAAGCAACUCUGCAGGCGUCGCAGUCGCUGGUUUGUAUCAUACGAAUCAGAAUCACACUCAAUGCGCAAGAGCGGCGCUUUCACUAUCUCUCUGCGUACGUUUUACAGAACGUUGAAAAAAGGAUACUGCUCAGUGGGUGAGAUGUUUGUAAUGUCUUGAAUGUCAUCUUUAACUUACUUGGAUAUAAAAACUUCCAUACGCAACAAUGCUGGUUUGCACUGCAACUGAAUUAAAAGCGUUACAAAGACUACCAGCAACAGGCAAAUAGAACUUGGCCACAUUUGCCAACAUUCAAAGGCCUAAGAUAGUGUUCUAGGUUUGUUUACAUCGGAAUCGGCCAACUCUGACUCGGGCCGCUCCCAUGAGUCGCUCACCUUUGAAUUUUUAACUUUUCUAUGGAACAUAGGGUAUGGAAACUUUCAUACCAGCUGUCCCAAUUGAGUGUAAUUGUUCUUUUACAAAUAAGAAUCAGCUCAACAAAAUAACAAACACUCAAGGCGCGAGCGGCGCUCAAAAUCACACUCAAAAUCCGAAGCGACAGCGACGCCAGCAGCGAUGGUACGGUUGUACGGUGGUUGUGGAAAAAUGUAAAAGGAGACACUGUGGACUUUUACUGCCUCAAUCUUUUCUCGGCCGCGGCAACGAAACAACAGAAAUUUGGUUAAAUUUUGGCGGUUGGCGCUUUUAACCGAAUUCAGAAAAAGUAGUUCCGUUUCUGUUGAUAUUAUCCCACAAAACCAUUCGAACUCAGCGGCAGCAAAAGAAACACAAAAAAAAAAGACGGCACUCUGACAUCAUCUGCGCUCGCCUCCCCACCCGCCCCCUAACCGGUACUACUCUGCACAGCUGCCCCACCUCCCUGCCCCAACCCGCCACAGCCAACAAGAAAACAUCAAAAAUUAAAACACAAGAAAUAGCAACAAAAGCAACCACAAACAACAAAAUAUUAUUCUUCCCCUUUCGGCUCAAUUGACACCACAUAAAAAACAACAACAAAACAUACAACAACAAAAUCCCAAAAAAAAAACUUAUUUUUUUUGGAACUUUUCACAAGGAAAACUAAAUUCGAGCUCAAAAAACGCAACGUAAAAAUUCAAAAACAACAAAAACUGUUUUCAAAAAAUAAAAC